UCCGUGCUGAGAGUAGCUUGCAAGGG
Molecule: small RNA, 26 nt
Filed under: Bombyx mori (domestic silkworm)
Lineage: Eukaryota; Metazoa; Arthropoda; Insecta; Lepidoptera; Bombycidae
Description: ovarian small RNA-27622
Source: RNAcentral